This is a small nucleolar RNA of Apodemus sylvaticus (European woodmouse), 126 nucleotides long. RefSeq annotates it as small nucleolar RNA SNORA71. NCBI's taxonomy places the organism in Eukaryota, Metazoa, Chordata, Mammalia, Rodentia, Muridae. The record is from RefSeq and is a predicted model, not a curated record. The transcript has a single exon.
CCCUGAAUUCAAGAGUGAUUCUGUGCCCUCCCUGUUCAUUGUUACUAUCGGGAGAGGAUGCCAAAAGCCUUUCUCUGUGUUUUGAAGGUCCAUUUAUGUCCUUGCUAAACCUGGUGCUUUUAAACA